RNAcentral lists this long non-coding RNA (387 nucleotides) under Helianthus annuus (common sunflower). Its description in RNAcentral is "sRNA HanXRQr2_Chr09g0405001". The record is from RNAcentral. Lineage: Eukaryota; Viridiplantae; Streptophyta; Magnoliopsida; Asterales; Asteraceae.
GUUCACCGAUGGAUCCAUUAGUUCUUCAGUCUGGUUCGCGCAAUGAUUCUUCACGAAUUAAUAGAGGAUAGGAUGGGUCAGCGGAAAUGGUAAAGCUUCUCUGAGCGAGGGUAUUGAAUAGAACAAGGCGGACUGUGGCGAUGUCGUUACGAUUAACGUACGGUGCUCAGACUUCACCAAUUUUUCCGGUCAGCCGAGCCUUGAAGAUGCAAACACCGAAUUCCUUUUACUCAUUGGACUAGCACUCGAUUGCGCCUCUUUUCAACUUACGCACAUCCUGUUUACAUGCUUUUGUUGGGGUUUUUUUGGCGCAUGCAAGUUACUUUAUACACGUUAUAAUGAUAAUGGUAAACCAAUUUGAGUUCAGACCAUCUCAACAAUAGAGGA